CACCGAUGUUCAAUGUUACUAGGAUAUAGAAAUGAUACGAUGCGUCACUCGGCGGUAAAAUCUAACGAUUCAACGCAGUACGUGUAGGUAUAAUUGAAUGAUUCAAGUGAUUUGUGCAAAUCGAUAAAAAUCGCAAAAAUAAAUUGGCUGUAGGCAGCGUUCGGAAAGCUGAAGGACCGGUUCUGGUUCCAGAUGAUGAGAUCAGAAAGAGAAGUAUCAAGCAUUCCUGAGGCAAGUGGAGUCAUAUAACGCGUGUCUUCCAAAAUCGGCUAGAUCCAUCAUAUUAUCAACUCUAUUAGGGGUCAGAAGAACUUUUUUAACAAUAAAGUCACACGGUGUAACGCGGAAAAGAUAUACAGGUAUACAUGAAUUGUAACUUACGAAUUGUGGAGUGCGUAUAUUGAGACGCGCGAUCGCAGCUGUUGUAUAUGAAAGCAGUUGAGUUACGUGGAUGGAAUAAACUCGUCCGCGUCUUUUCUCUGGUAAAUCCGGAUAAUGAUUGUUUCUCUGUCUUCAUCACAUAAUCGUUCACGCAUUGCUGACCAUAACGUCACGAUUUGGGUAUAUUAACAUUACGUUUUUGUUCGACUGUUGUACGUGUCCCCACAAAUUCAUGAGUUACUUUCCAUCACUAAUUACGCCGCACAGAUUUGGAAUCAUUUUCAAAA
Long non-coding RNA from Athalia rosae (coleseed sawfly), 668 nucleotides. RefSeq lists it as uncharacterized. The record is from RefSeq and is a predicted model, not a curated record. Lineage: Eukaryota; Metazoa; Arthropoda; Insecta; Hymenoptera; Athaliidae. The transcript has 2 exons.